Molecule: ribosomal RNA, 1167 nt
Filed under: Triticum aestivum (bread wheat)
Lineage: Eukaryota; Viridiplantae; Streptophyta; Magnoliopsida; Poales; Poaceae
Description: partial small subunit ribosomal RNA
Source: RNAcentral
AUGGCGGACGGCUCCAAAGACGUCAGCAGGCGGCGGAAUCCAGCGGACAAGCUCACCGAAGACCUCCUCGUCGAGAUUCUGUCGCCCCUGCCGUACAAGUCGCUGUGCCGGUUCAAGUGCGUCUCCAAGCGGUGGCGCGGCAUCAUCUCCCACCCCGACCACCGCAAGGCGCUGCCGCAGCACCAUCUCCAUGACCUCGCCGGAUUCCUCUACUCGAGCCGCAGCCCUGACUAUUUAUUGAUUCGCAAUUUCACCCAUGUCUCCACGGGAGGUCGCCCUCCUAUGGACCCUUCGCUUCCCUUCCUGCCUAACUGUGACAGGUUCAACCUCCUGGACAGCUGCAACGGCCUACUCCUCUGCAGCCGCUUUGAGACCGCUGAUUCGCGGGCAUUUGAUUACGUAUUGUGCAAUCCUGCCACAGAGAAAUGGCUUGCCUUGCCGUUGCCGCGCUUCUUCAGCAAGUGGCAGACAGCUCGCUUGGGGUUUGACCCGGCUGUCUCCUCGCACUUCCAUGUGUUCCAGUUCCUGGAGGAUGGGGCUGAUACAGACGACGAUGUUGACGAUAGUGAUGGCCACGUCAAAGGGGUUGAGAUCUACUCGUCCAAAACCGGCGCCUGGAGUCACAAGGACAGCGGUUGGGGCUUCCCAGCUAGGAUAUUGAGUUUAAGUGCCUUUGGCAAGGGUUUUCUGCAUUUGGUUACCAUCGAGCCUGCGGUGGUGGUGGCAGUGGAUGUGGAGGGAACUACUUGGAGGGUUAUUCCUAUGCCAUGCAAUCUGUUUGGCCCUGAAAUAGAUCUUGCUGUCGGGUUCACUGAUCUGUCUCAAGGGCGUUUGUAUUUAGCAAAUAUUGAUCAUCGUGAUGGUCACAAACUAUUGAUCUGGGUUCUUGAGGACUACGGCAGUGAAGUGUGGGUCUUGAAGCACAGCGUUAGGCCUUUUGAUCUAUUUGGAGUCAAGUAUGUCCAUCAGGGAAUCAGGUUUCACAUUGUCGCCCACCACCCGCAACGAAACAUGAUUUUCUUAGUUUUUGGGCAUGACAAAGUACUCGUGUCUUAUGAAAUGGAUAGUGGAAAAGUGCAGUUCAUCCGCGAUCUUGGAAAUGGUUCCAUGGGACCCUAUCGUCCUUAUGUUCCCUUGUACUCGGAGGAAUUGGCAGAUUGGAACUGA